Molecule: signal recognition particle RNA, 303 nt
Filed under: Cebus imitator (Panamanian white-faced capuchin)
Lineage: Eukaryota; Metazoa; Chordata; Mammalia; Primates; Cebidae
Description: Metazoan signal recognition particle RNA (ENSCCAG00000006695.1)
Rfam family: Metazoan signal recognition particle RNA
About the family: The signal recognition particle (SRP) is a universally conserved ribonucleoprotein. It is involved in the co-translational targeting of proteins to membranes.
Source: RNAcentral
ACUGGGCGCAGUGGUGUGUGCCUGUAGUCCCAGCUACGCGGGGGGCUGAGGUGGAAGGAUCGCUUGAGCCCAGGAGUUGUGGGCUGUAGAGCACUAUGCCAAUCGGGUGUCCGCACUAAGUUCGGUAUCAAUAUGGUGACCUCCCAGGAGCGGGGGACCACCAGGUUGCCUAAGGAGGGGUGAACCGGCCCAGGUCGGAAACAGAGUAGGUCAAAACUCCUGUGCUGAUCAGUAGUGGGAUCCCACCUGUGAAUAGCCACUGCAUUCCAGCCUGGGCAACAAACAUAUCGAAACCCUGUCUCU